RNAcentral lists this ribosomal RNA (131 nucleotides) under Vibrio vulnificus. RNAcentral's name for it is "partial 16S ribosomal RNA". It matches the Rfam family "Bacterial small subunit ribosomal RNA", at positions 1 to 122 of the family's 1533-position model. The record is from RNAcentral. Lineage: Bacteria; Pseudomonadati; Pseudomonadota; Gammaproteobacteria; Vibrionales; Vibrionaceae.
UUUAAUUGAAGAGUUUGAUCAUGGCUCAGAUUGAACGCUGGCGGCAGGCCUAACACAUGCAAGUCGAGCGGCAGCACAGAGAAACUUGUUUCUCGGGUGGCGAGCGGCGGACGGGGGAGUAAUGCCUGGGA